CAAACAUGUUUAUUUGUUUAUCUUUUGAUAUGCAUAUCUAUUUUUCACACUGAUGUUACAUUGCACUAAUUCAGUAACUAAUCCUUAAUUUCAGAUUUAACAGAGCUUAAGACUCAACGAGUGAAAAUAAUAUUCCAUUUAUUGAAACCUGUUGCAUGGAAUAUACAUACCAUGCGUUGGAGAUAUUCUAACUCGACAGUGUAGGGGAGGGAACGCGAGGUCACAGCCCGUGCCACGUAAACCUGGAUUCACGCUUUGCAAAAAUUUCCUGCAUUAUGCUCAGGCUGCAGCAACAAAUUAUGGCACACUAUCAUAUCAUGCACUUCAUGAAAGACAGGUGGCUGACGCUUAGACCUUUGCUGCUCGAGUGGCUGCGGCGGCCAGCAAGUGUCGAGUGGCAUCUGCUUCUUUCGGAGGCACUGCUUCUCCCAAGGGCCUCCUGCACUUCGACACGUUUGGGAACAAUAUCGACUGGGCUUAUGUGUGGCGGGGGGUUCUUA
This is a long non-coding RNA of Penaeus indicus, 500 nucleotides long. RefSeq lists it as uncharacterized. NCBI's taxonomy places the organism in Eukaryota, Metazoa, Arthropoda, Malacostraca, Decapoda, Penaeidae. The transcript is spliced from 3 exons. The record is from RefSeq and is a predicted model, not a curated record.